Molecule: non-coding RNA, 45 nt
Organism: Puccinia graminis f. sp. tritici
Lineage: Eukaryota; Fungi; Basidiomycota; Pucciniomycetes; Pucciniales; Pucciniaceae
Source: Rfam
AAAUAGGCCCCUUUAGGGGCCAUGAAGCCACCAAGUAACUUCAUG